AUGAACGCUGGCAGCGUGCCUAAUACAUGCAAGUCGAGCGAACGGACGAGAAGCUUGCUUCUCUGAUGUUAGCGGCGGACGGGUGAGUAACACGUGGAUAACCUACCUAUAAGACUGGGAUAACUUCGGGAAACCGGAGCUAAUACCGGAUAAUAUUUUGAACCGCAUGGUUCAAAAGUGAAAGACGGUCUUGCUGUCACUUAUAGAUGGAUCCGCGCUGCAUUAGCUAGUUGGUAAGGUAACGGCUUACCAAGGCAACGAUGCAUAGCCGACCUGAGAGGGUGAUCGGCCACACUGGAACUGAGACACGGUCCAGACUCCUACGGGAGGCAGCAGUAGGGAAUCUUCCGCAAUGGGCGAAAGCCUGACGGAGCAACGCCGCGUGAGUGAUGAAGGUCUUCGGAUCGUAAAACUCUGUUAUUAGGGAAGAACAUAUGUGUAAGUAACUGUGCACAUCUUGACGGUACCUAAUCAGAAAGCCACGGCUAACUACGUG
RNAcentral lists this ribosomal RNA (496 nucleotides) under uncultured bacterium. RNAcentral's name for it is "partial 16S ribosomal RNA". It matches the Rfam family "Bacterial small subunit ribosomal RNA", at positions 29 to 507 of the family's 1533-position model. The record is from RNAcentral.